GAGGGGCCCGCGGCCCAUUAGCUAGUUGGCGGGGUAAUGGCCCACCAAGGCAACGAUGGGUAGCCGGCCUGAGAGGGCGAUCGGCCACAUUGGAACUGAGACACGGUCCAGACUCCUACGGGAGGCAGCAGUGAGGAAUCUUGCGCAAUGGGCGAAAGCCCGACGCAGCAACGCCGCGUGGGUGAUGAAGGCCUUCGGGUCGUAAAACCCUGUCGGGUGGGAAGAAUCGGAUGGGGGUUAAUAACCCUCCUUCCUGACUGUACCACCAAAGGAAGCCCCGGCUAACUCCGUGCCAGCAGCCGCGGUAAUACGGAGGGGGCCAGCGUUGUUCGGAAUCAUUGGGCGUAAAGGGCGUGUAGGCGGCCGAGUAAGUCUGACGUGAAAUCCCUUGGCUCAACCAAGGAAUUGCGUCUUAAACUGCUCGGCUUGAGUCCGGGAGAGGGUAGUGGAAUUCCCAGUGUAGCGGUGAAAUGCGUAGAUAUUGGGAGG
This 489-nucleotide ribosomal RNA is filed under the name uncultured Acidobacteriota bacterium. RNAcentral describes it as "bacterial SSU rRNA". It matches the Rfam family "Bacterial small subunit ribosomal RNA", at positions 224 to 704 of the family's 1533-position model. The record is from RNAcentral. Lineage: Bacteria; Pseudomonadati; Acidobacteriota.